RNAcentral lists this transfer RNA (74 nucleotides) under Paludibacteraceae bacterium. RNAcentral's name for it is "tRNA-Cys". It matches the Rfam family "tRNA". From Rfam's summary of the family: Transfer RNA (tRNA) molecules are approximately 80 nucleotides in length. Their secondary structure includes four short double-helical elements and three loops (D, anti-codon, and T loops). Further hydrogen bonds mediate the characteristic L-shaped molecular structure. tRNAs have two regions of fundamental functional importance: the anti-codon, which is responsible for specific mRNA codon recognition, and the 3' end, to which the tRNAs corresponding amino acid is attached (by aminoacyl-tRNA synthetases). tRNAs cope with the degeneracy of the genetic code in two manners: having more than one tRNA (with a specific anti-codon) for a particular amino acid; and 'wobble' base-pairing, i.e. permitting non-standard base-pairing at the 3rd anti-codon position. Lineage: Bacteria; Pseudomonadati; Bacteroidota; Bacteroidia; Bacteroidales; Paludibacteraceae. The record is from RNAcentral.
GGUCGGUUGCCCGAGUGGUUAGGGAUCGGUCUGCAAAACCGGGGACAGCAGUUCGAAUCUGCUACCGACCUCCA